This 1151-nucleotide unclassified non-coding RNA is filed under the name uncultured Bordetella sp. Its description in RNAcentral is "partial 16S-23S ribosomal RNA intergenic spacer". It matches the Rfam family "Bacterial small subunit ribosomal RNA", at positions 10 to 1176 of the family's 1533-position model. Lineage: Bacteria; Pseudomonadati; Pseudomonadota; Betaproteobacteria; Burkholderiales; Alcaligenaceae. The record is from RNAcentral.
GGUUCGAUCAUGGCUCAGAUUGAACGCUGGCGGGAUGCUUUACACAUGUCGAACGGCAGCACGGACUUCGGUCUGUGGCGAGUGGCGAACGGUGAGUAAUGUAUCGGAACGUGCCUAGUAGCGGGGGAUAACUACGCGAAAGCGUAGCUAAUACCGCAUACGCCCUUCGGGGGAAAGUGGGGGACCUUCGGGCCUCGCACUAUUAGAGCGGCUGAUACUGGAUUAGCUAGUUGGUGGGGUAACGGCUCACUGGUUAGCGACGAUCUGUAGCUGGUUUGAGAGGACGACCAGCCACACUGACUGAGACACGGCCCAGACUCCUACGGGAGGCAAGGUGGGGAAUUUUGGACAAUGGGGAAACCUGAUCCAGCCAUCCCGCGUAUGCGAUGGAAGGCCUUCGGGUUGUGAAGCACUUUGGCAGGAGAAGAAACGGCACGGAUAAUACCUCGUGCAACUGACGGUACCUGCAGAAUAAGCACCGGCUAACUACGUGCCAGCAGCCGCGGUAAUACGUAGGGGUGCAAGCGUUAAUCGGAAUUACCGGGCGAAGCGUGCGCAGGCGGUUCGGAAAGAAAGAUGUGAAAUCCCAGAGCUUAACUUUGAACUGAUUUUAACUACCGAGCUAGGAGGAAGCCAGAGGAGGAAUUCCGCGUGUAGCAGUGAAAUGCGUAGAUAUGCGGAGGAACACCGAUGGCGAAGGCAGCCUCCUGGAUAACACUGACGCUCAUGCACGAAAGCGUGGGGAGCAAACAGGAUUAGAUACCCUGGUAGUCCACGCCCUAAACGAUGUCAACUAGCUGUUGGGGCCUUCUCUGGGCCUGGUAGCGCAGCUAACGCGUGAAGUUGGACUGCCUGGGAGUGCUUGUCGCAAAAGAUUAAAACUCAAAGGAAUUGACGGGGACCCGCACAAGCGGUGGAUGAUGUGGAUUAAUUCGAUGCAACGCGAAAAACCUUACCUACCCUUGACAUGUCUGAAUCCCGAAGAGAUUUGGGAGUGCUCGCAAGAGAACCGGAACACAGGUGCUGCAUGGCUGUCGUCAGUCAUGUCGUGAGAUGUUGGGUUAAGUCCCGCAACGAGCGCAACCCUUGUCAUUAGUUGCUACGAAAGGGCACUCUAAUGAGACUGCCGGUGACAAACCGGAGGAAGGUGG